RNAcentral lists this ribosomal RNA (212 nucleotides) under uncultured bacterium. Its description in RNAcentral is "partial 16S ribosomal RNA". It matches the Rfam family "Bacterial small subunit ribosomal RNA", at positions 122 to 334 of the family's 1533-position model. The record is from RNAcentral.
UAACCUGCCUCAUACACAUGGAUAACAUACCGAAAGGUAUGCUAAUACAAGAUGAUAUAAGAGAUUCGCAUGGAUUUCUUAUCAAAGCUCCGGCGGUAUGAGAUGGACCCGCGUCUGAUUAGCUAGUUGGUAAGGUAAUGGCUUACCAAGGCGACGAUCAGUAGCCGACCUGAGAGGGUGAUCGGCCACAUUGGAACUGAGACACGGUCCAA